Neofelis nebulosa (Clouded leopard) is the source of this 1411-nucleotide long non-coding RNA. RefSeq lists it as uncharacterized. Lineage: Eukaryota; Metazoa; Chordata; Mammalia; Carnivora; Felidae. The record is from RefSeq and is a predicted model, not a curated record. The transcript has 5 exons.
UCACACUUAUGUCUUUGGAAUCAGGCACUUUGGAAGUGUUCCUUGAAAAGGCAAUGCCCUGGGCACUUCUGGAGGCUGAAUGCUUAUAUGGGAACCAUUUGCUUUUCAUGUGAAGGCAUCCCAAGUAGCCAGGGGAGAGAGGCAACCUGGGUAACCAUCAAUGCCAAGCCCCACAAGGUCACUAUUGAAAAUACUGUUUGUUUUACCAAGGCUUUGACUGGAAUGUCAUAUUUGAGGAUGACAUUCAUAGACUCAGAUAUGACCAGACAGCUUUAAGGAACUAGGAUUGGCAUUAUAAAACAUGGACCCAUAAAGCCCCUUGGAAAUGUUGGUCUGGUGCCUUGCUUACAGUUCUCCCAGCAGCCUCACCAGCUAUUUAUACAAUAAUAUAACAUUGGACUAAAGUGGGAAGCCUUCUGGAGGUUGAGCUUUGAGUCAUUCUGUGUGAUCUCCAAACAGGUCAUGGGUCACAACCAGGUGGAACCGGUCUGUCAGCCACACAGCUGCAUCUAGGAUUUGUGGCUCUGGUGUUCAACGUCUUUUGGCUUCUACACUUCUUUGUUUGAGAGACGCAGGAUGUAUGGAUCACCUAUUUCUCUGCCAUGUCGGCCCCUCCUCCCUGGAGACCAUCUUUCAACUACAUCUUGUUUCACCAAGUAAGAAGGGUUUGAAAACCUGUAGGAUCUUAUGCGGAUAGUGCCAUACACUCAACUCUGUCAAACUGCCCUUUGGGGAAACAAUUUUUCAAAUAACAUCUUGUAUCACUGAGUUAAAAGUGUUUGAAAACCUAUGUGGGGCACGAAGUGGAGAGUGACAUGUACUUGAUACUCUGAAACAAUCCUGCGGAGGAACCAUCUUUCAACUAACAUCUUUUGACUAAGUUAGAAGAGCUUGAAAGCAUAUGCAGACGUAUAUGAUAAGUGCUAUAUACUCGACUAUGUGAAACAACACGGUGGGGAAAACACCAUUCAACUAACAUCUCCUUACUCUAAGUUAGAAGAGGUUGAACAAUGAUGGGAGGCCUAUACUGAAAGUGCCACAUAUUCACCUUUGUGAAACUGCACAUUGGGUAAACCAUCUUUCAAGUAACAUCUUUGUGUCACGUAGUUGGAAUUAUUUGAAAUUUUAUGCGGAGAACGAUGUGGAAAGUGACAUUUGCUCCACCCUGUGAAGGAAUACUGUGGAGAAACCAUCUUUCAACUAACAUCUUGAUUCACAAAGGUAGAACCGUUUGAAAACAUAUGUGGGGUCAACACAGAAAGUGCGAUACACUCAAUUCUGCGAAACAACACUGUGUGGAAAACAUUUUUCAACUAACAUCUUAUUUCACUAAGUUAGAAGUGUUUGAAACCUAUGGUGGCAGAAAGUGCCCUAUACACAAUUAUGUGAAAAAAACACUGUGGUGAAACAA